RNAcentral lists this ribosomal RNA (497 nucleotides) under uncultured bacterium. Its description in RNAcentral is "partial 16S ribosomal RNA". It matches the Rfam family "Bacterial small subunit ribosomal RNA", at positions 28 to 507 of the family's 1533-position model. The record is from RNAcentral.
GACGAACGCUGGCGGCGUGCCUAAUACAUGCAAGUUGAGCGAUGAAGAUUGGUGCUUGCACCAAUUUGAAGAGCAGCGAACGGGUGAGUAACGCGUGGGGAAUCUGCCUUUGAGCGGGGGACAACAUUUGGAAACGAAUGCUAAUACCGCAUAACAACUUUAAACAUAAGUUUUAAGUUUGAAAGAUGCAAUUGCAUCACUCAAAGAUGAUCCCGCGUUGUAUUAGCUAGUUGGUGAGGUAAGGGCUCACCAAGGCGAUGAUACAUAGCCGACCUGAGAGGGUGAUCGGCCACAUUGGGACUGAGACACGGCCCAAACUCCUACGGGAGGCAGCAGUAGGGAAUCUUCGGCAAGAGACGAAAGUCUGACCGAGCAACGCCGCGUGAGUGAAGAAGGUUUUCGGAUCGUAAAACUCUGUUGGUAGAGAAGAACGUUGGUGAGAGUGGAAAGCUCAUCAAGUGACGGUAACUACCCAGAAAGGGACGGCUAACUACGUG